CGCACAUUGCGCCUUUUGGUACUCCGAAAGGCAUGCCUGUUUGAGUGUCAUAUAGACUCUCAUACCUAGUUUUCUAUGUAUGAGCUUUGGACGCUGCCAUCUCUGGCUCGUCUUAAAUGACUAAGUGGAAUGCGUAAUAAGUUUUCGCUCCCUCCACUCUAAUACUCUUUGUUUUAGACCUCAAAUCAGGUAGGACUACCCGCUGAACUUAA
This 212-nucleotide unclassified non-coding RNA is filed under the name fungal sp. RNAcentral's name for it is "partial contains 5.8S ribosomal RNA, internal transcribed spacer 2, and large subunit ribosomal RNA". The record is from RNAcentral. Lineage: Eukaryota; Fungi.